CCUACGGGCGGCAGCAGUGGGGAAUAUUGGACAAUGGGCGAAAGCCUGAUCCAGCCAUGCCGCGUGUGUGAAGAAGGCCUUCGGGUUGUAAAGCACUUUCAGUGGGGAAGAAAGCCUUGGGGCUAAUACCCUCGAGGAAGGACAUCACCCACAGAAGAAGCACCGGCUAACUCCGUGCCAGCAGCCGCGGUAAUACGGAGGGUGCGAGCGUUAAUCGGAAUUACUGGGCGUAAAGCGCGCGUAGGCGGUCUGAUAAGCCGGUUGUGAAAGCCCCGGGCUCAACCUGGGAACGGCAUCCGGAACGGGCAGGCUAGAGUGCAGGAGAGGAAGGUAGAAUUCCCGGUGUAGCGGUGAAAUGCGUAGAGAUCGGGAGGAAUACCAGUGGCGAAGGCGGCCUUCUGGACUGACACUGACGCUGAGGUGCGAAAGCGUGGGUAGCAAACAGGAUUAGAUACCCGAGUAGUC
Molecule: ribosomal RNA, 465 nt
Filed under: Vreelandella stevensii
Lineage: Bacteria; Pseudomonadati; Pseudomonadota; Gammaproteobacteria; Oceanospirillales; Halomonadaceae
Description: partial 16S ribosomal RNA
Rfam family: Bacterial small subunit ribosomal RNA
Source: RNAcentral